UCGAACGGAAAGGCCCUGCUUGCAGGGUACUCGAGUGGCGAACGGGUGAGUAACACGUGGGUGAUCUGCCCUGCACUUCGGGAUAAGCCUGGGAAACUGAGUCUAAUACCGGAUAGGAGCCAUUUUUAGUGUGAUGGUUGGAAAGCUUUUUCGGUGUAGGAUGAGCUCGCGGCCUAUCAGCUUGUUGGUGGGGUAAUGGCCUACCAAGGCGGCGACGGGUAGCCGGCCUGAGAGGGUGGACGGCCACAUUGGGACUGAGAUACGGCCCAGACUCCUACGGGAGGCAGCAGUGGGGAAUAUUGCACAAUGGGCGCAAGCCUGAUGCAGCGACGCCGCGUGGGGGAUGACGGCCUUCGGGUUGUAAACUCCUUUCGCUAGGGACGAAGCUUUUUGUGACGGUACCUAGAUAAGAAGCACCGGCUAACUACGUGCCAGCAGCCGCGGUAAUACGUAGGGUGCGAGCGUUGUCCGGAAUUACUGGGCGUAAAGGGCUCGUAGGUGGUUUGUCGCGUCGUCUGUGAAAUUCCGGGGCUUAACUCCGGGCGUGCAGGCGAUACGGGCAUAACUUGAGUACUGUAGGGGUAACUGGAAUUCCUGGUGUAGCGGUGAAAUGCGCAGAUAUCAGGAGGAACACCGAUGGCGAAGGCAGGUUACUGGGCAGUUACUGACGCUGAGGAGCGAAAGCA
This 686-nucleotide ribosomal RNA is filed under the name uncultured Actinomycetales bacterium. RNAcentral describes it as "bacterial SSU rRNA". It matches the Rfam family "Bacterial small subunit ribosomal RNA", at positions 62 to 761 of the family's 1533-position model. Lineage: Bacteria; Bacillati; Actinomycetota; Actinomycetes; Actinomycetales. The record is from RNAcentral.